RNAcentral lists this ribosomal RNA (975 nucleotides) under Triticum aestivum (bread wheat). RNAcentral's name for it is "partial small subunit ribosomal RNA". Lineage: Eukaryota; Viridiplantae; Streptophyta; Magnoliopsida; Poales; Poaceae. The record is from RNAcentral.
AUGAAUGAGCCAAACAUUGGUGCAUUGGCCUCUUAUGAUGUUGCUAUAUUCCCUCCUGGUCGUUGCUCGGAUCCAUUUGGAGUAACAAAGUGCACCUCUGGGGACUCUAGUGUGGAACCAUACAUGGCAGUUCAUAAUACCCUUUUGGCGCAUGCAUCGGUUGUCAGUCUGUACAGAAAAAAAUAUCAAGCCAUGCAAAAAGGAGCUGUUGGCAUAAGUAUUUACUCUUUCUGGAGUUAUCCAUUGACAAAUUCCACUGUGGAUUUAGAAGCAACUAGGAGAUGUAUAGAUUUCUACUUCGGCUGGAUACUAGAUCCGUUGGUGUUUGGGGACUACCCGCAAGUAAUGAAGAAGAAUGUUGGCUCUCGCCUUCCACCCUUCACGGAAGUUCAGUCUGAACUUAUCAAGGGUUCUUUAGAUUUUAUUGGAAUAAAUCACUACUACUCUCUGUACGUGAAUGAUCGCCCUCUGGAAACAGGCGUUCAAGACUACAAAGCAGACAUAUCAGUUAGUUUAAGGGGUUCUAGGAUAGAUCCACCAUCUAGUCAGGGCUUCCCAGUAAAUGUUCCAAGUGAUCCCAAAGGGCUGCAGCUUCAACUGGAGUACCUGAAAGAAACCUACGGAAACCUUCCGGUCUAUGUCCAGGAGAAUGGUAUGGGUUCUGCCGACGACAGCCUAGAUGACACGGACAGGGUCGGUUACCUGAGCAGCUACAUGGAAAGCACACUAAACGCAAUGAGGAACGGGGCGGACGUGAGAGGGUACUUCGCGUGGGCAUUCAUGGACCUGUUCGAACUCCUGUCCGGGUACCAGUUGAGGUAUGGGCUGUACCGCGUCGACUUUGCCAACGGGAGGCGGCCGCGGCAGGCCAGGCUCUCGGCUCGCUGGUACUCCGGCUUCCUCAAGCACAACGGAACCUCUGCGCUCGCGCCGAGAACGACGCAGAUGAACCAGGCGCUGAACUUGUUGUCCUGA